UACGUAGGGGGCUAGCGUUGUCCGGAUUUAUUGGGCGUAAAGAGCGUGUAGGCGGCCAGGUAGGUCUGCUGUGAAAACUCGAGGCUCAACCUCGAGACGUCGGCGGAAACCAUCUGGCUAGAGUCCGGAAGAGGAGAGUGGAAUUCCUGGUGUAGCGGUGAAAUGCGCAGAUAUCAGGAAGAACACCCGUGGCGAAGGCGGUUCUCUGGAAAUUAUCUGACGCUGAGAAGCGAAAGCGUGGGGAGCAAACAGG
Molecule: ribosomal RNA, 253 nt
Filed under: uncultured bacterium
Lineage: Bacteria
Description: partial 16S ribosomal RNA
Rfam family: Bacterial small subunit ribosomal RNA
Source: RNAcentral